This 200-nucleotide ribosomal RNA is filed under the name uncultured bacterium. Its description in RNAcentral is "partial 16S ribosomal RNA". It matches the Rfam family "Bacterial small subunit ribosomal RNA", at positions 335 to 526 of the family's 1533-position model. The record is from RNAcentral.
AUUCCUACGGGAGGCAGCAGUGGGGAAUUUUGGACAAUGGGCGCAAGCCUGAUCCAGCAAUGCCGCGUGCAGGAUGAAGGCCUUCGGGUUGUAAACUGCUUUUGUACGGAACGAAAAAGCUCUGGUUAAUACCUGGGGCCCAUGACGGUACCGUAAGAAUAAGCACCGGCUAACUACGUGCCAGCAGCCGCGGUAAUAAU